RNAcentral lists this ribosomal RNA (510 nucleotides) under uncultured bacterium. RNAcentral's name for it is "partial 16S ribosomal RNA". It matches the Rfam family "Bacterial small subunit ribosomal RNA", at positions 28 to 507 of the family's 1533-position model. The record is from RNAcentral.
GACGAACGCUGGCGGCGUGCUUAACACAUGCAAGUCGAACGAAGAGCGAUGGAAGCUUGCUUCUAUCAAUCUUAGUGGCGAACGGGUGAGUAACGCGUAAUCAACCUGCCCUUCAGAGGGGGACAACAGUUGGAAACGACUGCUAAUACCGCAUACGAUCUAAUCUCGGCAUCGAGGAUAGAUGAAAGGUGGCCUCUACAUGUAAGCUAUCACUGAAGGAGGGGAUUGCGUCUGAUUAGCUAGUUGGAGGGGUAACGGCCCACCAAGGCGAUGAUCAGUAGCCGGUCUGAGAGGAUGAACGGCCACAUUGGGACUGAGACACGGCCCAGACUCCUACGGGAGGCAGCAGGGGGGAAUCUUCCGCAAUGGACGAAAGUCUGACGGAGCAACGCCGCGGGAGCGAUGACGGCCUUCGGGUUGUAAAGCUCUGUUAAUCGGGACGAAAGGCCUUCUUGCGAAUAGUGAGAAGGAUUGACGGUACCGGAAGAGAAAGCCACGGCUAACUACGUG